Molecule: long non-coding RNA, 1979 nt
Organism: Equus caballus (horse)
Lineage: Eukaryota; Metazoa; Chordata; Mammalia; Perissodactyla; Equidae
Source: RefSeq, a predicted model, not a curated record
GGAGAAGCUGCAUCUCUGACUGCGGUUGAAGCCGUCUUGUGACCUUGAGAAGCCCGCUGGGGGGCAAAGCCAGAAACAGGAAAGGGUGGAACAGAGAGAAUCUCCAAGAAAUAGGAGCGCUGUUUGAACGACGCCUGAGCUGGACUUCUCAGCACUCUGGCAGAUGGUGUUUUCCAAGAUGGACAUAGCAACUUCUCCUCCACCAAGAUGUGGCAUCUAAUUCUCCUUUCCCUGAAGCUGGGCUGUCUGACGCCUCUCUUGUAACCAAUAAAAUGUGGCAGAAGUGACUCUGUGUCAUUUCCAAAGCUAGGUCAGGAAAGGUCAUGCAACUUCCUCCUUGUUCUCUUAAGAUGCCCACUCUGGGGCGCAGCCGGCCACCACUUCUCUGGGGGAAGGCCAAUCACCCUGAGGCCACCAUGUUGGAGAGGCCACAUGUAGACGCCCAGUGCACUGUCCCAGCUGAGUGCAACCCUCCAGCCAUUUCCCCCAAAAAAAACACCAGAUAGAGUCGAUCCUUAUGAGUCACAGACUCUGAAUUUGUGAAUUCUCUUGCUCACGAAAAUUUAUUUGUAACUCUAGAAUCAAUAUCAGCCGCACCUUCCUGGUCAUUCAUGGAUGUGAACAGAGAGGCAAAAAAAAUUUGAAUCUGCCAACAUGCAUGUUCCCAGCUGAGGUCGAACAAGGUGACACUUUGCCAUCUUGUUUCAGCUCUCAUAAUGUAAACAAGUGUCCUUUACUCAGUCUAUUUAGUCCCGUGUUUUCUGCAUUUUUGUGCUUUUUGUUAGUGAUUUCGCUGUAUAAAGUGGCCUCCAAGUGUAGUGCUGAGAUGCUCUCCCACGUUCCUAAGCUCAAGAACGCUGUGAUGUGCCUUAUGGAGGAAACGCGUGUGUUACACGAGCUUUGUUCAAGUUCGAGUUUUAGUGCCAUCGGCUUUGGGUUCAACGUUAAUGAGUCGACAAUAUGGUACAUCACGGAAAAGGAAGAGGAAAUUUGCCAGCCUGUACCAGAGGCUGCUCUGGAAACUGCUACAGUAACAUGUUAACGCUCAAUGAAGCUAUGGAAAACCUGGAAAAGUGGCUAAACUUGUGGAUCCAUGAGACGAUGACUGAUCAAAAGAAAGUGUAGUGGAUGGCACCGUGGUGUGGCUGAGAGCCAAGGAAAUUCACGGUCACGUUACUCAGGGUCAGGAGGAUGUCACACCCUUCCCGGUGAGUACUCUAGGGCUUAGUAGAAAGAAAUGCUGCUAAACUAUAAUAACUACAAUCCAGGUGGGCCCAAUGUAAUCACAAGUGUCGUUAUAAAUGGAAGCAGCAGGCAGAAGUCAGUGAUACAGUGUGAGAAAGACUGGACUAGCCAUUGCUGUCUUUGAAGGUGGAGGAAGGGGCCCUGAGUCAAGGAACGGGGACCAGCUUCUGGAAGCUGAAAAAAGCAACGUAACAGAUUCUCUGUCGGAGACUCCAGAAGGAAUGCAGCCCUGCUAACACUUUGAUUUGAGCCCAAUGGGCCCCAUUUCAGACUUCUGACCUCCAGAAGUGGUAGACGAUAAGUUUGGGUUGUUUUAGUCCACCAUGUGUGUGAUAAUUUGUUGCCAUAGUGAUAGGAAACUGAAGAAAGUAUUAUUUCCCACACUUUAGAAUUGUUGAACUGAGACUUCGAGAAACGGAGUGACUUGCCCAAACCAGCAACAUUCACAGGGCAGAAAUUUGGUCCCAGGUCUGCGCGACUCCAGGGUGCAGACGGGAGAGCCCUCCAUCAGGAACUCACGUUACUCUUUUGAAUUCGAUUUGGCAAAUGUUGGAGCUGCUGGUGUGAAGGAGCAAGAAGAUCAUCAAGGCUGCUUGGGAUGCGUCCCGGUAGGGACGUUGUGACAUUGCCACUGGACCUAGUCAGGGAUAACUCAAUAUAAAUGCAAAAUUUGAGGUUUGGGUUGGAAGGAUAAAAUAAUAAUAGAAUUAAACUCAACAUUUUAUACAAGUCAA